This 87-nucleotide transfer RNA is filed under the name Bacteroidota bacterium. Its description in RNAcentral is "Bacteroidetes bacterium (sediment metagenome) tRNA-Leu". It matches the Rfam family "tRNA". From Rfam's summary of the family: Transfer RNA (tRNA) molecules are approximately 80 nucleotides in length. Their secondary structure includes four short double-helical elements and three loops (D, anti-codon, and T loops). Further hydrogen bonds mediate the characteristic L-shaped molecular structure. tRNAs have two regions of fundamental functional importance: the anti-codon, which is responsible for specific mRNA codon recognition, and the 3' end, to which the tRNAs corresponding amino acid is attached (by aminoacyl-tRNA synthetases). tRNAs cope with the degeneracy of the genetic code in two manners: having more than one tRNA (with a specific anti-codon) for a particular amino acid; and 'wobble' base-pairing, i.e. permitting non-standard base-pairing at the 3rd anti-codon position. Lineage: Bacteria; Pseudomonadati; Bacteroidota. The record is from RNAcentral.
GCGGGAAUGGCGGAACUGGUAGACGCACACGUUUCAGGGGCGUGCGCCCUUACGGGCAUGCGAGUUCGACUCUCGCUUCCCGCACCC